RNAcentral lists this ribosomal RNA (238 nucleotides) under uncultured bacterium. RNAcentral describes it as "partial 16S ribosomal RNA". It matches the Rfam family "Bacterial small subunit ribosomal RNA", at positions 1252 to 1500 of the family's 1533-position model. The record is from RNAcentral.
AGGUGGCGACACCGCGCGGACCCGAAGCCGUUCUCAGUUCGGAUCGGAGUCUGCAACCCGACUCCGUGAAGCUGGAUUCGCUAGUAAUCGCGCAUCAGCCAUGGCGCGGUGAAUACGUUCCCGGGCCUUGUACACACCGCCCGUCAAGCCAUGGGAGCCGGGGGUGCUUGAAGUGCGUCGCCGCAAGGCGCGCCCUAGAGCAAAACCGGUGACUGGGGCUAAGUCGUAACAAGGUAUC